ACAAGAACUAUUAUAUAUGAAAAUAGGUGUCAUCUAUAUAUCAAACGUGAGAUGGUUUGUGACCAGCUGCCGAUCAAGGGCUUUAUCUCAGCCUGGGAUUUUAGUUUGGAUGCUAAAUAAAGAGUAACAAAACAGUUACGGUUGGACAAAGCAUCAUCCUAUCAGCACUGGUUCUCUCUCUCUCUUCACAUAAAAGCAACACCGCCUCUCUCUCUUCACAGAAAUUCAACCAGCAACCCUCUCCUGCACCAUAAACUCACCACGGGCUCUCUCUCCACCACCGAUUCUCUAUUCCCACCGCAUUCACACUGUUAAAGACAACCAUUCAGCCUAUGCAAGAGCUGUUGCAAAAGAAACUGAUGUUCUUGAGUCAAAGGAUUCAUCGUUGGAUGUGUCAUUUGAAGAAUUGCUUAUUGAUUUUGUCUCAACUAUCGAUGGACUUUCACUAGCUGAAGCACCUGCGUUUAAGAUGACUCCUGGAGAAGCACCUGCCAAUGUUGCGGUUAGCAUCACCAAACUUGGCGGUUCAUCCACUUUUAUUCGGAAGGAAAACUAGGUCAUCAAAAUUGCCCAUCACCGAUAAGGACAACUCUGAAACAAGAUGCCUAACAUGGAUAUCAAUCUCCUUCACCGUCUGUAGCUCAUCUAUUAUCAUAUAUAUAUAGUUAUUAGUACCCAUUUCUGUCACUCUUCUAAUGUUCACCAAUGCCAUGUAAAAUAUUUCGCUUCUUCUAACUAUUGUAUCUUACACACCCUUCGCCUUGCAUAAUACGAUAUCGUCCUAUUAAAUUGGGUCUA
Amborella trichopoda is the source of this 798-nucleotide long non-coding RNA. RefSeq lists it as uncharacterized. The record is from RefSeq and is a predicted model, not a curated record. Lineage: Eukaryota; Viridiplantae; Streptophyta; Magnoliopsida; Amborellales; Amborellaceae.